CCUACGGGAGGCAGCAGUCGAGAAUCAUUCACAAUGGGGGAAACCCUGAUGGUGCGACGCCGCGUGGGGGAAUGAAGGUCUUCGGAUUGUAAACCCCUGUCAUGUGGGAGCAAAUUAAAAAGAUAGUACCACAAGAGGAAGAGACUGCUAACUCUGUGCCAGCAGCCGCGGUAAUACAGAGGUCUCAAGCGUUGUUCGGAAUCACUGGGCGUAAGGCGUGCGUAGGCUGUUUCGUAAGUCGUGUGUGAAAGGCGCGGGCUCAACCCGCGGACGGCACAUGAUACUGCGAGACUAGAGUAAUGGAGGGGGAACCGGAAUUCUCGGUGUAGCAGUGAAAUGCGUAGAUAUCGAGAGGAACACUCGUGGCGAAGGCGGGUUCCUGGACAGUAACUGACGCUGAGGCACGAAGGCCAGGGGAGCGAAAGGGAUUAGAUACCCGAGUAGUC
This 446-nucleotide ribosomal RNA is filed under the name uncultured bacterium. Its description in RNAcentral is "partial 16S ribosomal RNA". It matches the Rfam family "Bacterial small subunit ribosomal RNA", at positions 338 to 795 of the family's 1533-position model. The record is from RNAcentral.